RNAcentral lists this ribosomal RNA (254 nucleotides) under uncultured bacterium. RNAcentral describes it as "partial 16S ribosomal RNA". It matches the Rfam family "Bacterial small subunit ribosomal RNA", at positions 524 to 776 of the family's 1533-position model. The record is from RNAcentral.
UACGUAGGGGGCGAGCGUUGUCCGGAUUCAUUGGGCGUAAAGCGCUUUAAGGCGGUUCGCUAAGUCGCGUGUGAAACCUCCAGGCUCAACCUGGAGACGCCACGCGAUACUGGCGUGACUAGAGUUCGGUAGGGGAUCACGGAAUUCCUGGUGUAGCGGUGAAAUGCGCAGAUAUCAGGAAGAACACCCGUGGCGAAGGCGGUUCUCUGGGACGGUACUGACGCUGAGACGCGAAAGCGUGGGGAGCGAACAGG